This 496-nucleotide ribosomal RNA is filed under the name uncultured bacterium. Its description in RNAcentral is "partial 16S ribosomal RNA". It matches the Rfam family "Bacterial small subunit ribosomal RNA", at positions 29 to 507 of the family's 1533-position model. The record is from RNAcentral.
AUGAACGCUGGCGGCGUGCCUAAUACAUGCAAGUCGAGCGAACGGACGAGAAGCUUGCUUCUCUGAUGUUAGCGGCGGACGGGUGAGUAACACGUGGAUAACCUACCUAUAAGACUGGGAUAACUUCGGGAAACCGGAGCUAAUACCGGAUAAUAUUUUGAACCGCAUGGUUCAAAAGUGAAAGACGGUCUUGCUGUCACUUAUAGAUGGAUCCGCGCUGCAUUAGCUAGUUGGUAAGGUAACGGCUUACUAAGGCAACGAUGCAUAGCCGACCUGAGAGGGUGAUCGGCCACACUGGAACUGAGACACGGUCCAGACUCCUACGGGAGGCAGCAGUAGGGAAUCUUCCGCAAAGGGCGAAAGCCUGACGGAGCAACGCCGCGUGAGUGAUGAAGGUCUUCGGAUCGUAAAACUCUGUUAUUAGGGAAGAACAUAUGUGUAAGUAACUGUGCACAUCUUGACGGUACCUAAUCAGAAAGCCACGGCUAACUACGUG